RNAcentral lists this unclassified non-coding RNA (407 nucleotides) under Hevea brasiliensis (rubber tree). Lineage: Eukaryota; Viridiplantae; Streptophyta; Magnoliopsida; Malpighiales; Euphorbiaceae. The record is from RNAcentral.
GUGCAGCUUGUAGUGCAGAACCUUAAGGCAAAAGUAACCAUCAAUACUUAACACCAAGAAACGCAGACACACAAAUACACUUAUGGUCCAUUGAUCAGCUGCAUGCCUAGAUCCCACAGUGCAGACAGUUAAGAGUUCAAACCCCAACUUCCUUUUCCCCUACCCUCCAAACAAUACAAACAUUUAAUAAUAACGACUAAAAGGGUCAUUUGCAAAACUCAAUUAUUGAUGCCCUGACAUCCAAGUAGAAUUUUGAUACAAUAACAUGUAUUCUGACACAGGAUGGACUGUAUAAAUGCAAGUAGUUGUUUCAUGUUUAGGUUUCUAGGCCCAGUAAGGGAUGGGGAGGAUUUUAAAGGAGGAUUUUGACUCCCAUUGCGCUUCCCAGACUUAGACGUAAAAGAAAU